GACGAACGCUGGCGGCGUGCUUAACACAUGCAAGUCGAACGAAGAGCGAUGGAAGCUUGCUUCUAUCAAUCUUAGUGGCGAACGGGUGAGUAACGCGUAAUCAACCUGCCCUUCAGAGGGGGACAACAGUUGGAAACGACUGCUAAUACCGCAUACGAUCCAAUCUCGGCAUCGAGACUGGAUGAAAGGUGGCCUCUAUUUAUAAGCUAUCACUGAAGGAGGGGAUUGCGUCUGAUUAGCUAGUUGGAGGGGUAACGGCCCACCAAGGCGAUGAUCAGUAGCCGGUCUGAGAGGAUGAACGGCCACAUUGGGACUGAGACACGGCCCAGACUCCUACGGGAGGCAGCAGUGGGGAAUCUUCCGCAAUGGACGAAAGUCUGACGGAGCAACGCCGCGUGAGUGAUGACGGCCUUCGGGUUGUAAAGCUCUGUUAAUCGGGACGAAUGGUUCUUGUGCAAAUAGUGCGAGGAUUGACG
Molecule: ribosomal RNA, 476 nt
Filed under: Veillonella atypica
Lineage: Bacteria; Bacillati; Bacillota; Negativicutes; Veillonellales; Veillonellaceae
Description: bacterial SSU rRNA
Rfam family: Bacterial small subunit ribosomal RNA
Source: RNAcentral